UCCCUGGAAGACUAGUGGUUAGACCUCGACACUCUGACCGUCUCGGCCCGGGUUCGAUUCCCGGCCAGGGGA
This is a non-coding RNA of Pangasianodon gigas (Mekong giant catfish), 72 nucleotides long. The record is from the annotation of a GenBank genome assembly. Lineage: Eukaryota; Metazoa; Chordata; Actinopteri; Siluriformes; Pangasiidae.